UACGUAAGGGGCGAGCGUUGUCCGGAAUCACUGGGCGUAAAGGGCGCGUAGGCGGCCUUGUAAGUCAGGGGUGAAAGCUGUGGGCUUAACCCACAAAUUGCCUUUGAAACUGCAAGGCUUGAGUUCUGCAGGGGAAAGUGGAAUUCACGGUGUAGCGGUGAAAUGCGUAGAUAUCGUGGAGAACACCUAUGGCGAAGGCAGCUUUCUGGGCAGAUACUGACGCUGAGGCGCGAAAGCUAGGGGAG
RNAcentral lists this ribosomal RNA (245 nucleotides) under uncultured bacterium. RNAcentral's name for it is "partial 16S ribosomal RNA". It matches the Rfam family "Bacterial small subunit ribosomal RNA", at positions 524 to 768 of the family's 1533-position model. The record is from RNAcentral.